CAUACCUAUUCGAAGGGAUAGGGUCGGUUUGACCGGAUCUCACACAGGUGUUGCAUGGCUGUCGUCAGCUCGUGUCGUGAGAUGUUGGGUUAAGUCCCGCAACGAGCGCAACCCUCAUCCUUAGUUACCAUCAGGUUAUGCUGGGGACUUUAAGGAAACUGCCAGUGAUAAACUGGAGGAAGGUGGGGAUGAUGUCAAGUCAUCAUGGCCCUUAUGGAGUGGGCUACACACGUGCUACAAUGGUGAUUACAAUGGGCUGCAAGGUCGCAAGGCUGAGCUAAUCCUAAAAAAUCAUCUCAGUUCGGAUUGUUCUCUGCAACUCGAGAGCAUGAAGUUGGAAUCGCUAGUAAUCGUGGAUCAGCAUGCCACGGUGAAUACGUUCUCGGGUCUUGUACACACUGCCCGUCACGCCAUGGGAAUUGGUUUCACUCGAAGCU
RNAcentral lists this ribosomal RNA (437 nucleotides) under Wolbachia pipientis. Its description in RNAcentral is "bacterial SSU rRNA". It matches the Rfam family "Bacterial small subunit ribosomal RNA", at positions 992 to 1428 of the family's 1533-position model. The record is from RNAcentral. Lineage: Bacteria; Pseudomonadati; Pseudomonadota; Alphaproteobacteria; Rickettsiales; Anaplasmataceae.